AUACGUAGGGGACGAGCGUUGUCCGGAAUUACUGGGCGUAAAGGGCGCGCAGGCGGAUAUUUAAGUCAGCUGUAAAAGGCAUGAGCUCAACUCAUGUAUGCGGUUGAAACUGGGUAUCUAGAGUGCUGGAGAGGUAGGCGGAAUUCCCGGUGUAGCGGUGAAAUGCGUAGAUAUCGGGAAGAACACCAGUGGCGAAGGCGGCUUACUGGCCAGCAACUGACGCUGAGGCGCGAAAGCCAGGGGAGCGAACGGGAUUAGAUACCCCGGUGGUCCUGGCCGUAAACGAUGAAUGCUAGGUGUGGGUGUCGAGAGGCAUCCGUGCCGGAGUUAACGCGAUAAGCAUUCCGCCUGGGGAGUACGAUCGCAAGAUUGAAACUCAAAGGAAUUGACGGGG
RNAcentral lists this ribosomal RNA (394 nucleotides) under uncultured bacterium. RNAcentral's name for it is "partial 16S ribosomal RNA". It matches the Rfam family "Bacterial small subunit ribosomal RNA", at positions 523 to 918 of the family's 1533-position model. The record is from RNAcentral.